RNAcentral lists this ribosomal RNA (253 nucleotides) under uncultured bacterium. RNAcentral describes it as "partial 16S ribosomal RNA". It matches the Rfam family "Bacterial small subunit ribosomal RNA", at positions 524 to 776 of the family's 1533-position model. The record is from RNAcentral.
UACGUAGGGGGCAAGCGUUGUCCGGAAUUAUUGGGCGUAAAGCGCGUGUAGGCGGCCAGAUAAGUCCGCUGUGAAAUCUCGAGGCUCAACUUCGAGCUGUCGGUGGAAACUGUCUGGCUAGAGUCCGGAAGAGGAGAAUGGAAUUCCUGGUGUAGCGGUGAAAUGCGCAGAUAUCAGGAAGAACACCAAUGGCGAAGGCAGCUCGCUGGGACGUGACUGACGCUGAGACGCGAAAGCGUGGGGAGCAAACAGG